GGGCGAUUAGCUCAGCUGGUUAGAGUGCUUGCUCGACACGCAAGAGGUCACUGGUUCAACUCCAGUAUCGCCCACCA
This 77-nucleotide transfer RNA is filed under the name bacterium. RNAcentral's name for it is "tRNA-Val". It matches the Rfam family "tRNA". Rfam says of the family: Transfer RNA (tRNA) molecules are approximately 80 nucleotides in length. Their secondary structure includes four short double-helical elements and three loops (D, anti-codon, and T loops). RNAcentral also lists the same sequence under 1 other name. The record is from RNAcentral.